Molecule: signal recognition particle RNA, 265 nt
Filed under: Chloroflexota bacterium
Lineage: Bacteria; Bacillati; Chloroflexota
Description: signal recognition particle sRNA large type
Rfam family: Bacterial large signal recognition particle RNA
About the family: The signal recognition particle (SRP) is a universally conserved ribonucleoprotein involved in the co-translational targeting of proteins to membranes. Archaeal SRP consists of a 7S RNA and homologues of the eukaryotic SRP19 and SRP54 proteins. In most bacteria, the SRP consists of a 4.5S RNA and the Ffh protein (a homologue of the eukaryotic SRP54 protein).
Source: RNAcentral
CCGUGCUAGGCGGGGAACUAGCGGUGCCCUGUACCUGCAAUCCGCUUCAGCAGGGCUGAAUUCCCACCCGAGGCCAGCGUUCGCGAAGGCCGGCGGAGAGAUUGGUGCUGAGGAUCGGGUCCCGCGCAGCGGCGACGCGUGAACCUCGUCAGGUCCGGAAGGAAGCAGCGAUAAACGCUGUUCGCCGGGUGCCGCGGACAGGCCUGGUCUGAGCCGAUCUCCUCGUUGGGCACGUGAGCGUCACCGGUCGACGGCGGGUGCACGG